RNAcentral lists this ribosomal RNA (463 nucleotides) under uncultured bacterium. Its description in RNAcentral is "bacterial SSU rRNA". It matches the Rfam family "Bacterial small subunit ribosomal RNA", at positions 8 to 452 of the family's 1533-position model. The record is from RNAcentral.
AGAGUUUGAUCCUGGCUCAGAACGAACGCUGGCGGCGUGCCUAACACAUGCAAGUCGAACGGAGGUAGGGAGCUUGCUCCUUACUUUAGUGGCGCACGGGUGAGUAACGCGUAGAUAAUCUGCCUUAGACCUCUGGGAUAACAUCUCGAAAGGGGUGCUAAUACCUGAUAAGCCCACGAUCGCCCGCAAAGUCGUUGCGGGAAAAGGGGGCCUCUGUAUAUGCUCUUGAUCUAAGAUGAGUCUGCGUACCAUUAGCUAGUUGGUAGGGUAAGAGCCUACCAAGGCGACGAUGGUUAGCUGGUCUGAGAGGAUGAUCAGCCACACUGGAACUGAGACGCGGUCCAGACUCCUACGGGAGGCAGCAGUGGGGAAUUUUGCGCAAUGGGGGAAACCCUGACGCAGCAACGCCGCGUGAGUGAUGAAGGCUUUCGGGUCGUAAAGCUCUGUCUAGAGGGAAGAAGUG